GCUUAACCAUCUAUGCUUAUCAUCAUUAGUUGUCAUCAUCAAAAGUUGUUGUCCUUGUUAAAGGCAUGUCACCUAUAAGUAACAUGUAAAACAAGGUUCUAUAUUCUCCCCUUUUUUAUGAUGACAAUGCAACUCUCAGGGAUGUGGUAAAAGAAACAAAUAAAAUUAUUUGGAGUAUUCAAACUCCCCCUCAAUUUAG
RNAcentral lists this long non-coding RNA (199 nucleotides) under Lathyrus oleraceus (garden pea). Its description in RNAcentral is "Pisum sativum (pea) long non-coding RNA (PSAT_LNC024951)". The record is from RNAcentral. Lineage: Eukaryota; Viridiplantae; Streptophyta; Magnoliopsida; Fabales; Fabaceae.